UAUCCAUAGUUUUCCCUCUAUUUUUUCCUCCAGUUCCCUCCCCCACAUCCUUUCUACCCCAACACCCAUCCACUCCUCAGAAAGGGUAAGUCCUCCCAUGGGGAGUAAGCAAAGUCUGGCAUGUCAAGUAGAGGCAGAACCAAGCUCCUCCCCCAUCCAUCAAUGUUGAGCAAGGUAUCCCACAAUAGGGAUUUGGUUCCAAAAAAGCAUUGAAUCUCUCUGGUGCCAAUAUUUUUGAUAUGUAAAGUGUUUCUGUCUUUGUUGAGGUCAGCUAUAGCACAUUUUUCUCUCUUCCCCCUUCCAGUCUUUUCUCCACACAUCCUCAUGAUUCCCUAUCUUUCUAUUGUGCCUAAAACUACUGCAUUCUGGAGAAUGAGAGAAGCCAGUCACAAGACAAAAGGAGAUGAAUCUUACAUGGAACCUUCAUAUACUAUGAGAACUCGUCUUCAAGGAAGAGUCUUCAGAGUGAUAAAUAUGAGUACCAAAGGAUUUCAUUUUAAACCAGUAUUGUGUUUCCCAAAUUGAGAUGGAUCAAAACCUUGGCCUUGUUCCCCACAUUGCAGAAGAAUUAUCAGAGAAUCUAAGUCUAAUCCCAGGGGAGUAAUGACACCAUGUCUUCAGGAUUUAAGCAAGUGCAAUAGAGGACUCUAUGAGAGUGGACAAUAUGAGGGAGGCCUUUCUGGUCAGAGUCGUUCAUGACCAGGCUGACUCCUGCAUUGUGAGUAGAAAAGGGGAGGGCUGCCUCUGAGGCUCCUCUGGAAUCUUGAGAAUUCCAACAACUGUGUUUCCUGAGUAAAUGGUGUUAGUGAGUGUGAAGAUUUCAAUGAGAAUGGCCCCAUAGGCUCAUAUGUCUGAAUGUUUGGUUAUAAGCUGGUGGGCUGUUUAGGAAGGAUCAGGAGGUGUGGCCUUGUCAAAACAGGUGUGUCAUGGCUUUUGAAAUUUCAAAGUCAAAGCCAGGCCCUGUCUCUCCCUCUCUCAGUCUCUUGUUGGUGAUCAUACACUGGCUCUUAGCUUCUGUUCCACGGACAUGGAUGACUGUCUGCUACUAUAUUCUCUACAAUGAUCAUCAUGGCUAACCCUUUGAAAUUGUAAUCAAGCUCCCAAUUAAAGGCUUUGUUCUUUAGGUU
Molecule: non-coding RNA, 1127 nt
Organism: Cricetulus griseus (Chinese hamster)
Lineage: Eukaryota; Metazoa; Chordata; Mammalia; Rodentia; Cricetidae
Source: RefSeq, a predicted model, not a curated record